This 263-nucleotide ribosomal RNA is filed under the name uncultured archaeon. RNAcentral's name for it is "partial 16S ribosomal RNA". It matches the Rfam family "Archaeal small subunit ribosomal RNA", at positions 717 to 982 of the family's 1478-position model. The record is from RNAcentral.
AGACGUCUACAUUAGAUACCCGCGUAGUCCCAGCCGUAAACUAUGCGCGUUAGGUGUAUCGGUGACCACGAGUUACCGAGGUGCCGAAGGGAACCGUGAAACGUGCCGCCUGGGAAGUACGGUCGCAAGGCUGAAACUUAAAGGAAUUGGCGGGGAGCACCACAACAGGUGGAGCCUGCGGUUUAAUUGGACUCAACGCCGGGAAGCUCACCGGAUAGGACAGCAGAAUGAUUGCCGGGCUGAAGACUCUGCAUGACUAGCUG